This is a non-coding RNA of Tetranychus urticae (two-spotted spider mite), 1144 nucleotides long. The record is from RefSeq and is a predicted model, not a curated record. NCBI's taxonomy places the organism in Eukaryota, Metazoa, Arthropoda, Arachnida, Trombidiformes, Tetranychidae.
CCAAACAGCUCCAUCUUCUGAUUGGCUGUUAAAAAGUCUGUUGCACAUGCUCUGAUUGUUAUUAUUUAUGUUUGUUUUUUGAAAUCAUGGCCAGCCCACCUCCCAACCAGGACUCAAAUAUGUCCACCACCUCCACCACCACCAUCACCAACCAAGAAACACCUGUUAUGGCAGUAAGUACCAUUUUUUACUUCGAACUCUGACUCGAUAAUUAACUAAUUUUUGAUUUCAUCUUUUUCUUUCUGCUUUUCAGUUAUCUUUACAGUUUCCCUCACCAAUUGACCUGGACGAUCCUUCUUCAGGACCCAGUACUGGUCGUCGUCCUGGAGGCGUCCCACCACUACCUCCUCCACCCAGCUCCUCUGAAUCCUCUUCAUCAUCAUCAGAGGAUGACCAGGUAUGUUUAUUGAUAUUGUAACUUAACAAUUUUCUUUCUGUUUUAUGAAUUAAUAACAUUUUUGUUUCUUUCAGGAAUCUGAUCACGAAGCUUUUGAGCUUCCACCCGUACCUCCACAAAAGACCUGUGGCUCAGGGUUGCCCAAAGCUCAGGUGGGCCAGGCCGAUUACCCGGUGAGCAAAAUCCUCAAACGAGGAUAUGCUUACAAUUCAAAGCUUAAGCGCCGGGUAAUCGGCAAUCUGGUGGAGCAUGAGCCCCUCAUCUAUUUUGAUGAGGAGCUUGAUUGUCCUGACCUGGAGCCUGAAAGUUAUGUAAGUAUCUUUUCGCUGAAAAUUCAUCGGAUUUCGCAUAUUUAUUAUCUAGACAUUCAUUUAUAUUAAUUCAUGUUUUCUUUUUCGUUUCAGGGUCCAAUUGCUACUGGCAAAAAAGGCCACCGGUGGGCUCAUCUUGCUCCAGCCGAACUUGCGGCGGAGGAAGAGAAGAUGAAGAAGAGGAAGAAAUGGGGCAUCGACCCCAAAACACCCUGCCGUUUUUGUGGCAAAACAUUUGCUCGCAAGGAUGGGGCCGAUGUCCAUGAGCGGGACACCUGCACUGAGCCUGGUGCCCCUAAUCAUGUUUGUGGCUCGGACCCCGAAAAGCCCUGUCCAACCCCUUGCAUUGGUCCUCGAGUCUGGGUUCGAUCGGCAGGCAAGCCAAGAGGAAGGAAGGCCAAAAAUCCUUAAACCCCCUUAAACCCCCUUAUUUUUU